Molecule: ribosomal RNA, 216 nt
Filed under: Escherichia coli
Lineage: Bacteria; Pseudomonadati; Pseudomonadota; Gammaproteobacteria; Enterobacterales; Enterobacteriaceae
Description: partial 16S ribosomal RNA
Rfam family: Bacterial small subunit ribosomal RNA
Source: RNAcentral
AAAUUGAAGAGUUUGAUCAUGGCUCAGAUUGAACGCUGGCGGCAGGCCUAACACAUGCAAGUCGAACGGUAACAGGAAUCAGCUUGCUGAUUCGCUGACGAGUGGCGGACGGGUGAGUAAUGUCUGGGAAACUGCCUGAUGGAGGGGGAUAACUACUGGAAACGGUAGCUAAUACCGCAUAACGUCGCAAGACCAAAGAGGGGGACCUUCGGGCCU